CCUACGGGUGGCAGCAGUGGGGAAUAUUGGACAAUGGGGGGAACCCUGAUCCAGCCAUGCCGCGUGUGUGAAGAAGGCCCUCGGGUUGUAAAGCACUUUCAGUGAGGAAGAACGCCUGGUGGUUAAUACCCAUCAGGAAAGACAUCACUCACAGAAGAAGCACCGGCUAACUCCGUGCCCGCAGCCGCGGUAAUACGGAGGGUGCGAGCGUUAAUCGGAAUUACUGGGCGUAAAGCGCGCGUAGGUGGCUUGAUAAGCCGGUUGUGAAAGCCCCGGGCUCAACCUGGGAACGGCAUCCGGAACUGUCAAGCUAGAGUGCAGGAGAGGAAGGUAGAAUUCCCGGUGUAGCGGUGAAAUGCGUAGAGAUCGGGAGGAAUACCAGUGGCGAAGGCGGCCUUCUGGACUGACACUGACACUGAGGUGCGAAAGCGUGGGUAGCAAACAGGAUUAGAUACCCCUGUAGUC
Molecule: ribosomal RNA, 465 nt
Filed under: Vreelandella stevensii
Lineage: Bacteria; Pseudomonadati; Pseudomonadota; Gammaproteobacteria; Oceanospirillales; Halomonadaceae
Description: partial 16S ribosomal RNA
Rfam family: Bacterial small subunit ribosomal RNA
Source: RNAcentral